RNAcentral lists this long non-coding RNA (1345 nucleotides) under Malus domestica (apple). RNAcentral's name for it is "long non-coding RNA (MDOM_LNC017168)". Lineage: Eukaryota; Viridiplantae; Streptophyta; Magnoliopsida; Rosales; Rosaceae. The record is from RNAcentral.
CUUUGUGGUUGAUAGCAAUGACAGGGAUCGAGUUGUUGAGGCAAGGGAUGAAUUACACAGGAUGUUGAAUGAGGUAGUUCUUGGCUCCCUUAUAUUUUCAUUCUGCUUGUUUAUGUUGCGAUUUCUAAUGUUCCUGUUGUAAAUGGAGACGAGGAGGUUGUAUGCCUUCUGAAUUUUGUUGUGUUAUUUAGUUUUCUUCUGUACUUAAAUUUGUGGAUUCGAUUAAAGUUUCAUUUAGUUUGAUACAUACUUUCCUGAGCUACAUUUGUGAAUUCCAUUCUUUUAGUUAUGAUCCUUUUUGCCUUUAUAAAUUCUACUUCAUUUGUACUAAGACAAAACUCUGGUUUUGUUCCUGUAAAUGACUAGAACCUUGUUUAGGAUACAACAAUGGUACAUAUUGCUUAUGUAUACUUGGAACUAGGGUUUGAAGUUAAAAUUUUUAAUUGUUUUCAGGAUGAACUAAGGGAUGCUGUUCUGCUUGUAUUUGCCAACAAACAAGAUCUUCCUAAUGCAAUGAAUGCCGCCGAGAUAACUGAUAAGCUUGGUCUUCAUUCUCUCCGUCAACGUCACUGGUAAGUUAUUGAUAUACGGUGGGAGUCUACUGAUUAGUCUCUCUCUUGAGCUGGGAAAAACUUUCACCUUGAUUUAAAUACGGAUGGUUCAACUUAAACGAAUGAGUUCUUGAACAUCAAUGCUAAGAUCUUGGGCAAAAGUUGAAUACUGGAUAUAAUUGUUGUUCUUUUUCCAGGUACAUCCAGAGUACUUGUGCAACCUCUGGAGAGGGCUUGUACGAGGGGUUGGACUGGCUUUCCAACAACAUUGCUAGCAAGGUAAUAAAUUCAUUGUUUUGUUUAGAAUAUCAUCUCAUGGUAUUAUUUCUGGAAUCUAUUACGGUGAAUCCCUCAUAAAACAUGACGGAUUAGAUUUUUUUUAUUAGCAAGAUACCAUCCAUAUUUGAAUUCUAUAUUUCUGACGGCCCCCUCUCUCGUUCUUUACAGGCAUGAGAGAAUUGAGGCCAAGGAGUUUGGUUGCUUGCCUUGGAGAUUCUGGGGAAGGAUAGUUUUCUUUAUUUCGAUGAAUGUUGUAAUAGCAGAAUGUUUUGGAGAAACUCUCUCUGAAUUCGUGUGUGUGUUUGCUACUCUAGCUAUACUGUUUAGCUGUAAACGAAGUUUCUAUGUCGUUACCUUUGUUUUGACACAUGAGCCAAGGUUAUAUUUUAUCGUGUUUGCUUCAUUAAUCUGUUUGAUUUUUACGAUGAAUUGGAUUCGAUAACUUGUUAGAUUCAAGGAUAGUUGAAAUAAAAGGGACCUUUGAAUUUUGUCCAGGUUGAUUUUGUUUGAGAACU